ACUGUGACACCGGUUCUCAUCCGAUCAGCGAAGUUAAGCAACGUCGGGCCUGGUUACUACCAAAAUGGGUGAGCGGUUGGGAAUACCAGGUACUGA
Molecule: non-coding RNA, 96 nt
Organism: Acanthosepion pharaonis
Lineage: Eukaryota; Metazoa; Mollusca; Cephalopoda; Sepiida; Sepiidae
Source: the annotation of a GenBank genome assembly